UUAAGUUCAGCGGGUAUCCCUACCUGAUCCGAGGUCAACCUUGAGAUGGUUCUCCCUGAGGGGAGGCAGACCGUUGCCCGUGAACCCGCGUCCGAUACGUGCUCGGUGAAGAACUCAGUGUACCGGGGGUCCUACGAGGCCGCCGUCAUUGUCUUUAGGAGGGGUGAGCGGGCCACGAGGGCCUCCACCAGCCGUCCAAC
Molecule: unclassified non-coding RNA, 200 nt
Filed under: Exophiala sp.
Lineage: Eukaryota; Fungi; Ascomycota; Eurotiomycetes; Chaetothyriales; Herpotrichiellaceae
Description: partial internal transcribed spacer 2
Source: RNAcentral